UUUUUUCCUGUAGCAAUACAGGGAAACGUCUAGCGGCGAACGGGUGCUUAACACGUGGGCAAUCUGCCGAGAAGUGGGGGAUAGCUCGCCGAAAGGCGAAUUAAUACCGCAUGUGAUCAGAGUGGACAUCCAUUCAAAAUCAAAGUCGGGGCAACCUGACGCUUCUUGAGGAGCCCGCGGCCUAUCAGCUAGUUGGUGAGGUAACGGCCCACCAAGGCUUUGACGGGUAGCUGGUCUGAGAGGACGACCAGCCACACUGGGACUGAGACACGGCCCAGACACCUACGGGUGGCAGCAGUCGAGAAUUUUUCUCAAUGGGGGAAACCCUGAAGGAGCGACGCCGCGUGGAGGAUGAAGGUCUUCGGGUUGUAAACUCCUGUCAUUUGGGAACAAUGCGCAAAUAUUAACUGUAUUUGCGUUGAUAGUACCAGAAGAGGAAGAGACGGCUAACUCUGUGCCAGCAGCCGCGGUAAUACAGAGGUCUCAAGCGUUGUUCGGAUUCAUUGGGCGUAAAGGGUGCGUAGGCGGCGCGGUAAGUCGGGUGUGAAAUCUUGGAGCUUAACUCCGAAACUGCAUUCGAUACUGCCGUGCUUGAGGACUGGAGAGGAGACUGGAAUUUACGGUGUAGCGGUGAAAUGCGUAGAUAUCGUAAGGAAGACCAGUGGCGAAGGCGGGUCUCUGGACAGUUCCUGACGCUGAGGCACGAAGGCCAGGGGAGCAAACGGGAUUAGAUACCCCGGUAGUCCUGGCAGUAAACGGUGCACGUUUGGUGUGGGAGGAUUCGACCCCUUCUGCGCCGGAGCUAACGCGUUAAACGUGCCGCCUGGGGAGUACGGUCGCAAGA
This 844-nucleotide ribosomal RNA is filed under the name uncultured Verrucomicrobiae bacterium. RNAcentral describes it as "bacterial SSU rRNA". It matches the Rfam family "Bacterial small subunit ribosomal RNA", at positions 67 to 893 of the family's 1533-position model. Lineage: Bacteria; Pseudomonadati; Verrucomicrobiota; Verrucomicrobiia. The record is from RNAcentral.